AUUGAACGCUGGCGGCAUGCUUUACACAUGCAAGUCGAACGGUAACAGGCCGCAAGGUGCUGACGAGUGGCGAACGGGUGAGUAAUGCAUCGGAACGUGCCCAGUCGUGGGGGAUAACUAUCCGAAAGGAUAGCUAAUACCGCAUGAGAUCUACGGAUGAAAGCAGGGGAUCGCAAGACCUUGUGCUACUAGAGCGGCCGAUGGCAGAUUAGGUAGUUGGUGGGAUAAAAGCUUACCAAGCCGACGAUCUGUAGCUGGUCUGAGAGGACGAUCAGCCAAUCUGGGACUGAGAAACGGCCCAGACUCCGAGGGGAGGCAGCAGUGGGGAAUUUGGGACAAUGGGCGAAAGCCUGAUCCAGAAAUGCCGCGUGCAGGAUGAAGGCCUUCGGGUUGUAAACUGCUUUUGUACGGAACGAAAAGCCCCGGGUUAAUACCCUGGGGUCAUGACGGUACCGUAAGAAUAAGCACCGGCUAACUACGUGCCAGCAGCCGCCGUAA
This 498-nucleotide ribosomal RNA is filed under the name uncultured bacterium. RNAcentral describes it as "partial 16S ribosomal RNA". It matches the Rfam family "Bacterial small subunit ribosomal RNA", at positions 30 to 523 of the family's 1533-position model. The record is from RNAcentral.